AUACGGAGGGUCCAAGCGUUAUCCGGAAUCAUUGGGUUUAAAGGGUCCGCAGGCGGUCAAUUAAGUCAGAGGUGAAAGCCCAUCGCUCAACGAUGGAACUGCCUUUGAUACUGGUUGACUUGAGUUAUACGGAAGUAGAUAGAAUAAGUAGUGUAGCGGUGAAAUGCAUAGAUAUUACUUAGAAUACCGAUUGCGAAGGCAGUCUACUACGUAUAUACUGACGCUGAGGGACGAAAGCGUGGGGAGCGGACAGGAUUAGAAACCCUAGUAGUCC
Molecule: ribosomal RNA, 274 nt
Filed under: uncultured bacterium
Lineage: Bacteria
Description: partial 16S ribosomal RNA
Rfam family: Bacterial small subunit ribosomal RNA
Source: RNAcentral